Long non-coding RNA from Danio aesculapii, 252 nucleotides. RefSeq lists it as uncharacterized. The transcript has 4 exons. Lineage: Eukaryota; Metazoa; Chordata; Actinopteri; Cypriniformes; Danionidae. The record is from RefSeq and is a predicted model, not a curated record.
AUAAAGACUGUCAUAAAAAGGACAAUAAAACUGAAAUCAGUCCAUCUCAACCCGAUGAUAAAGACAAUCUGGGCAGUACACAAUCGGAUUGUGAAGCAUUGGAAACCAGUCCAUCUCAAUCAGAUGAAAAAAAUCUGGGCGAUUCACAACAGAAAUGUUCAGGUCAAGGACAAAGCCAAUCAUCAAACACAUCAAAUAAGGAUACAAAGAAAUCUCGGCAAUCUCAAGUAAAGAAGCUGAAAGGGGAAAAAC